RNAcentral lists this ribosomal RNA (257 nucleotides) under uncultured bacterium. RNAcentral describes it as "partial 16S ribosomal RNA". It matches the Rfam family "Bacterial small subunit ribosomal RNA", at positions 105 to 354 of the family's 1533-position model. The record is from RNAcentral.
GGUAGNGUAACACGUGAGUGACCUGCCUUUUAGACUGGAACAACUUACCGAAAGGUGAGCUAAUGCCGGAUGAGUUAUAUAAGUGCAUGUUUAUAUAGGAAAAGUUGGGGAGACCUGACGCUGAAAGAUGGACUCGCGUCCCAUUAGCUAGUUGGUAGGGUAAUGGCCUACCAAGGCGACGAUGGGUAGCCGGCCUGAGAGGGUGGCCGGCCACACUGGGACUGAGACACGGCCCAGACUCCUACGGAAGGCAGCAG